ACAGAGGUCUCAAGCGUUGUUCGGAUUCAUUGGGCGUAAAGGGCGCGUAGGCGGCGGGGUCAGUCGGGUGUGAAAUCUUGGGGCUUAACCCCGAAACGGCACUCGAAACUGCCCGGCUGGAGGGCCGGAGAGGAGAUCGGAAUUCACGGUGUAGCAGUGAAAUGCGUAGAGAUCGUGAGGAAGACCCGUGGCGAAGGCGGAUCUCUGGACGGCUAACUGACGCUGAGGCGCGAAGGCCAGGGGAGCAAACGGGA
This 254-nucleotide ribosomal RNA is filed under the name uncultured prokaryote. Its description in RNAcentral is "partial 16S ribosomal RNA". It matches the Rfam family "Bacterial small subunit ribosomal RNA", at positions 525 to 777 of the family's 1533-position model. The record is from RNAcentral.